This is a long non-coding RNA of Parasteatoda tepidariorum (common house spider), 587 nucleotides long. RefSeq lists it as uncharacterized. The record is from RefSeq and is a predicted model, not a curated record. Lineage: Eukaryota; Metazoa; Arthropoda; Arachnida; Araneae; Theridiidae.
AAAAUUGAUUUUUUUUCUUUUUAUUCUCUUUCUUUUGGGUAAAACCAGAUGUUACAGAAAUGAGGUUAACAGAGGGGAAAAAAUGAGUCGUUAAUGAAAUCCAGAUGAUAUUUCGUUGUUUUACCUUUUGUUUCCUUUAAUUUUCUUCUAUGGGUCAGGAAACAUUUGAAUAAUCCAUAUAAAAGGAAAACGGCGCCUACUUUUAAAGUCAUUCGAGAAAAAACUAUUCGAGUAACCAAACGCUCAUUACUGUUUAUCAAAGAACUUCAAAUCCAAAAAGAAUCAUGAACAAGACAAUUAUUGGUUUUCUGUUCGUCUGCCUUGCAUUCAGCUUAGUUAUGGUUGAGGAAACAACAGCGAUGCAUCUUCACAACAGUGGGAAUAACAAUGGUGUUAUUCAGUUACUCGUUGCUGGUCUCGUUGCCAAACUGCUGCAAGAACAGAACAUCGGUUAAGAAUCAUCUCUGAAAUGAGAAUGUUUGUGUGUUGUUUCAAAAUGUUUUUCAAAUGUAGUGUAUGUAAAUAGUGCAUAAUGUACAUAAACAAAAAAGAUGAAAAGUUAGAUUAAAAAAUCAUUUCCAUUUUAA